Molecule: long non-coding RNA, 540 nt
Organism: Mastomys coucha (southern multimammate mouse)
Lineage: Eukaryota; Metazoa; Chordata; Mammalia; Rodentia; Muridae
Exons: 2
Source: RefSeq, a predicted model, not a curated record
CCUUUCCAACCCCUCCAGGUAUCCUUGGUGCUCUCACCGCUGAGUGCAUUGUCUAAUGAUCUAAAGCUUUUAGUUUACUAUCCACUGUUAAGGAUCUUCCAAACACUUUUUAUAAAUGACUUUGUCUAACUUCAGUUGAUGUUAGAUUAACUUAUUUUAAGCUAAAAGGCCAAUAAACUUUUAUAUAUUUAAUUAUUUACUUAUUUUAUUAUUUACUACUCUGCCAUUCAAUUUUGUCAUCAUGUAUUUAAAUGGUUCAGACAGAUAAUAAAUUGUUCACAGCAUAUCAACAAUUCUAUGACUGUGGGAGAGUGUUACAGACUUCUGAACCCAGCUGUGGGUACAGAGAGGUGCCCAAAUGAUACAACAGAAAUUCCUCAAGACAGGAUGGGACCAUCAGAUGUGGGACGAAUGCAAAGUGCACCAUUAUGGUGGAGAACCUGGGAUUGCCAACUGAGACUUCAUAUGCACGUAGCAAUUGAACUUCUCGAAAUUUAUUCUCAAGCUCUGCCUUGAGCAAAAUAAAAUACAGGAAAUGAA